This 248-nucleotide ribosomal RNA is filed under the name uncultured bacterium. RNAcentral describes it as "partial 16S ribosomal RNA". It matches the Rfam family "Bacterial small subunit ribosomal RNA", at positions 524 to 771 of the family's 1533-position model. The record is from RNAcentral.
UACGAAGGGGGCUAGCGUUGCUCGGAAUCACUGGGCGUAAAGGGUGCGUAGGCGGGUCUUUAAGUCAGGGGUGAAAUCCUGGAGCUCAACUCCAGAACUGCCUUUGAUACUGAAGAUCUUGAGUUCGGGAGAGGUGAGUGGAACUGCGAGUGUAGAGGUGAAAUUCGUAGAUAUUCGCAAGAACACCAGUGGCGAAGGCGGCUCACUGGCCCGAGUACUGACGCUGAGGCACGAAAGCGUGGGAGCAA